This 70-nucleotide transfer RNA is filed under the name Trichonephila inaurata madagascariensis. Its description in RNAcentral is "tRNA-Arg". The stretch from base 4 to 63 matches the Rfam family "tRNA", at positions 7 to 64 of the family's 71-position model. Rfam says of the family: Transfer RNA (tRNA) molecules are approximately 80 nucleotides in length. Their secondary structure includes four short double-helical elements and three loops (D, anti-codon, and T loops). The record is from RNAcentral. Lineage: Eukaryota; Metazoa; Arthropoda; Arachnida; Araneae; Nephilidae.
ACUGUAGUGCAAUGGGUAGCGUGUUGGACUUCUAAUUCAAAGGUCGUGGGUUCGAAUCCCACCUAAAAUG